AACAGGAUUAGAUACCCUGGUAGUCACGCCGUAAACGAUGUCGACUUGGAGGUUGUUCCCUUGAGGAGUGGCUUCCGGAGCUAACGCGUUAAGUCGACCGCCUGGGGAGUACGGCCGCAGGGUUAAAACUCAAAUGAAUUGACGGGGGCCCGCACAAGCGGUGGAGCAUGUGGUUUAAUUCGAUGCAACGCGAAGAACCUUACCUACUCUUGACAUCCACGGAAUUUGGCAGAGAUGCCUUAGUGCCUUCGGGAACCGUGAGACAGGUGCUGCAUGGCUGUCGUCAGCUCGUGUUGUGAAAUGUUGGGUUAAGUCCCGCAACGAGCGCAACCCUUAUCCUUUGUUGCCAGCGAUUCGGUCGGGAACUCAAAGGAGACUGCCGGUGAUAAACCGGAGGAAGGUGGGGAUGACGUCAAGUCAUCAUGGCCCUUACGAGUAGGGCUACACACGUGCUACAAUGGCGCAUACAAAGAGAAGCGACCUCGCGAGAGCAAGCGGACCUCAUAAAGUGCGUCGUAGUCCGGAUCGGAGUCUGCAACUCGACUCCGUGAAGUCGGAAUCGCUAGUAAUCGUGGAUCAGAAUGCCACGGUGAAUACGUUCCCGGGCCUUGUACACACCGCCCGUCACACCAUGGGAGUGGGUUGCAAAAGAAGUAGGUAGCUUAACCUUCGGGAGGGCGCUUACCACUUUGUGAUUCAUGACUGGGGUGAAGUCGUAACAAGGUAACCGUAGGGGAACCUGCGGCUGGAUCACCUCCUU
Molecule: ribosomal RNA, 760 nt
Filed under: uncultured bacterium
Lineage: Bacteria
Description: bacterial SSU rRNA
Rfam family: Bacterial small subunit ribosomal RNA
Source: RNAcentral